Molecule: long non-coding RNA, 984 nt
Organism: Metopolophium dirhodum (rose-grain aphid)
Lineage: Eukaryota; Metazoa; Arthropoda; Insecta; Hemiptera; Aphididae
Exons: 3
Source: RefSeq, a predicted model, not a curated record
UCAUUUUUACGUGCUGAAAAGUAUGAAACUUCAUAAUUUAAAAGAUUAUGAGAAACUUACCGUUUUCAUGUUUGAUGAAGUUAAAAUAUCAAAUACAACAGAGUAUGAUGUACUGCAUAACGAGUUUAGUUUAUUGGUCCACAUAAUCAAAUGCAAGUUGUAAUGGCUAAUAUCUAUAAAUCUUGGAGAGCAUUCAGAUUCAGCAAUCAAGAAAAAGUAUAAAUUUGAAUAGGAUAAUAAAUUCAACUGUAAGUACAACUACGAUACCACGAGAAGAUCUUCCUCAAGACGCAUCGAGUUCAAUACAGUCUAAAGAAGAUAUUAAAGAUGGUGAUUCUACACAACAAAUACAUGAAACCUUUCUCAACGCAUUUCAUCUAAGACAGGGUUUCACUUAACACUUUCUUAAAUACACUGGGGACCACUAAAUGAAAAAAAAAUCUCUUAACAAGAAUUCGGAUUCGCUGUGGCUGCUAUACAAACAUGAUACCUACAUACCUACAUACCUAAGUAGAGAACUGAUUUUAAUCAUGGUUUUGGAUGUUACUCAUUGCACGUAUGCCUACGUUUUAUACUUAAAUAGUUCCUCCUUGAUAAUGCUAUUAAAGCAAUGAAAUCUGCUGUUAGCGAAUUUCAAAUAUUUGGCCAACAUAAUAUUGCAGUUAAACUUCAUAAACUCUCUAUAAAAGUAGCACCUGAUCUACAAACAAGCAUUCAAAAGAUGAUAACAAGCGCUUGUCUUCAGGUUAUGAAUAGUUUAGGUUAUAAAUUCAACUUCAAGUACAAGUACCAUAUCACGCAUGAAGAUCUUCCUCAACACACAUUGACUUCUAGUUUGGAUUUUGAUAAAUAUUUAAUUCAUUAUUUUCACUUUAGUUUUAUAUUAAGUAUAAUAUUAUAUUCAAGUCAAUAGGCGGUACACUAGUGAGGUACACUUUUUUUAUGUGCGUUAACCGAUUAUACUUAAUACAUUUAAAUAUUUGU